AGUGGCGAACGGGUGAGUAAUAUAUCGGAACGUACCCAGAAGUGGGGGAUAACGUAGCGAAAGUUACGCUAAUACCGCAUACGAUCUACGGAUGAAAGUGGGGGACCUUCGGGCCUCAUGCUUUUGGAGCGGCCGAUAUCUGAUUAGCUAGUUGGUAGGGUAAAGGCCUACCAAGGCGACGAUCAGUAGCUGGUCUGAGAGGACGACCAGCCACACUGGGACUGAGACACGGCCCAGACUCCUACGGGAGGCAGCAGUGGGGAAUUUUGGACAAUGGGCGCAAGCCUGAUCCAGCAAUGCCGCGUGAGUGAAGAAGGCCUUCGGGUUGUAAAGCUCUUUUGUCAGGGAAGAAACGGCUGAGGUUAAUAUCCUCGGCUAAUGACGGUACCUGAAGAAUAAGCACCGGCUAACUACGUGCCAGCAGCCGCGGUAAUACGUAGGGUGCAAGCGUUAAUCGGAAUUACUGGGCGUAAAGCGUGCGCAGGCGGUUUUGUAAGUCUGACGUGAAAGCCCCGGGCUCAACCUGGGAAUUGCGUUGGAGACUGCAAGGCUUGAAUCUGGCAGAGGGGGGUAGAAUUCCACGUGUAGCAGUGAAAUGCGUAGAGAUGUGGAGGAACACCG
This 621-nucleotide ribosomal RNA is filed under the name Massilia consociata. RNAcentral's name for it is "bacterial SSU rRNA". It matches the Rfam family "Bacterial small subunit ribosomal RNA", at positions 94 to 711 of the family's 1533-position model. The record is from RNAcentral. Lineage: Bacteria; Pseudomonadati; Pseudomonadota; Betaproteobacteria; Burkholderiales; Oxalobacteraceae.